Molecule: ribosomal RNA, 865 nt
Filed under: Phacidiales sp.
Lineage: Eukaryota; Fungi; Ascomycota; Leotiomycetes; Phacidiales
Description: partial large subunit ribosomal RNA
Rfam family: Eukaryotic large subunit ribosomal RNA
Source: RNAcentral
AUUGCCUCAGUAACGGCGAGUGAAGCGGCAACAGCUCAAAUUUGAAAUCUGGCUCUUUCAGGGUCCGAGUUGUAAUUUGUAGAGGAUGUUUCGGGUGUGGCUCCGGUCUAAGUUCCUUGGAACAGGACGUCAUAGAGGGUGAGAAUCCCGUAUGUGACUGGUAGCCUAUGCCCAUGUGAAACUCCUUCGACGAGUCGAGUUGUUUGGGAAUGCAGCUCAAAAUGGGUGGUAAAUUUCAUCUAAAGCUAAAUAUUGGCCAGAGACCGAUAGCGCACAAGUAGAGUGAUCGAAAGAUGAAAAGCACUUUGGAAAGAGAGUUAAACAGUACGUGAAAUUGUUGAAAGGGAAGCGCUUGCAACCAGACUUGCAUGUAGCUGAUCAACCGGUGUUCUCACCGGUGCACUCAGUUGCGUUCAGGCCAGCAUCGGUUUCGACGGUUGGAUAAAGGCCUUGGGAAUGUAGCUUCUUUCGGGGAGUGUUAUAGCCCAGGGUGCAAUGCAGCCUGUUGGGACCGAGGACCGCGCUUCGGCUAGGAUGCUGGCGUAAUGGUUGUAAGCGACCCGUCUUGAAACACGGACCAAGGAGUCUAACAUCUAUGCGAGUGUUUGGGUGUCAAACCCAUACGCGUAAUGAAAGUGAACGGAGGUGAGAACCCUUAAGGGUGCAUCAUCGACCGAUCCUGAUGUCUUCGGAUGGAUUUGAGUAAGAGCAUAGCUGUUGGGACCCGAAAGAUGGUGAACUAUGCCUGAAUAGGGUGAAGCCAGAGGAAACUCUGGUGGAGGCUCGCAGCGGUUCUGACGUGCAAAUCGAUCGUCAAAUUUGGGUAUAGGGGCGAAAGACUAAUCGAACCAUCUAGUAGCUGGUC